GAACGCCGUAUGAGGUGAAAGUCUCAUGUACGGUGUGAACGAGGGAAAAGGGAGCGAUAACUUCAAACCCUUACCUAUUCGUAU
This is a non-coding RNA of Anaerobacillus sp., 84 nucleotides long. NCBI's taxonomy places the organism in Bacteria, Bacillati, Bacillota, Bacilli, Caryophanales, Bacillaceae. The record is from Rfam.